CUUAGCUCCGCGGCAACUGUGAUCAAGGAGCCACGGCAACUACAAUUGACUCCUGCGCCACUGACCCGAGGUGAUCGCCGGCGCACUGAGGCUCCUGCGCCGGCGGUCUCUGCCUCCGUCGUUGGCCCGAGGCGAUCGCUGAUCGCCGUCGCCGCAAGGCUCCUGCGCCGGCACCCUAAGGCUCCUGCGCCGGUGGUCUCUGCCUCCUUCCGAUCUCCUGCGCCUCAAAUCCGACAUAUUUGGCUGCAACACGACGCGGGUAACUGGUAAAACGGAACCCCCGCUACCUCCUCGCUCUGUUCCCCCACUCCUCGAGCCCUCCUAUGCCCUACAUCGCAGGCGAUUUAGCUGCACUCUGCCGCCGGCUACCAUGGCCUGCGAAGAACGAUCCCUGGAGGUAUCUUUAAUUCUCGUGGUUCUGGUUGUAUUGUAUCUUGGCGGACAUGCUUUUACAAAACGAUGGAGCACAGCCAUGAUCAGGGUGUUGUCAGUUAUCUCAAGGGAAAUGGAAUGCAAAACGGUAUGCAGUCCCAUGUUCAGAUUUCUAGCAGAAUGAUGCUUAGCUUAGUGAGCAUCUGCUAUAGUUUCUUUUUAUUAAAUCAGUGCAAUUCACUUCUCUUCCCUGCAAGAUUGUGACCUUUUUAUACAGACAUAUCUUCCAGUUAGCAUAACAUAAGUGAUGACUGAAUAUUGGAGUGGUAGUAUACACCUAAAUUGGUUUUGGUCUAACCUCAAGCCUGGUUCCGUUAGAAUGUUCAGCUGGUCCUUAAUGUAAAUAUUUGGCCAUUUUGCAAAGUUAAAACUUAUCGUAAGCCUGCUGAAAUAUGACUGGAUUGUAAAAAAAAAUGAACCAGUGAAUAUGAGGGCAACUGUAUGGCACGGUGACAAAGUUUUGAGCCAGUCACUUGCGAGAUGAUAAUAUCACAAUAUCCAGGUUCACAGCAUGGGCAGAUUUACAUUCUGAUUUUUUAAUGUAUUUGCUACGCUGACAGUUUCCCUUCUUGUAGAUUCACUAUAUAUUUGUUCAUUUUUCAUAUUAAGUUGGUUUUUAUUUUAUUUGAUCAUAAUUUCAGCCUCGGUUUGUAUAAAUUUUGUGAUAUUUGACACUCUGUUUGCCCAGACCCUAAAUGUUUCCUAAUAUGAAUUUAGGCAAGGUGAAAGGCGUGCCAAGGGAACCAUUCGGUGAUUUGACGAACAUACCCGCGUCGGUUAAGCGGAAAAGGGACCGACGGUCUGCUUCAUUAACUUAGGUGCAGAAAAACGAACACUCACUGCAGGACUAUUGAUCUUACUGGUAUGAACCUCAAUUUAUGGCCCCGUAGCUGCACGAGACUAGAAAUAAGGUUCAUGUGUGGAUUAUAGCUAUUUUCGCCAGCAUCUUGGAGUCAACAAGGGUGGAAAACGCACGCUAGAUGUUAUCUUUAAUCUUUAAGCCUAUUAAUAUCACAAUUUAGAGGAACCUUUCCAUCUGCAUGAGCUAUCGUGUGAAAGCAUAUAUUAAGUUACUUGAUUUUAUGGGAUGACAAUUUUCAAAAUUACAAGAUGUCCAACUAGCAACGUACUCAGAAGUGUUAUUACUCUGUUCUUCAUGAGAUUCUACUCAUGCUGUAGUUACUCUCACUGUAUUCCAAGGCCAGAGGCCCAGAGUACGUGCAGAUGUGCCUAUUAUUUUCUUUCUUGUGCAUAACUCUUGAGUUAUAUCGGUCUAUAACUAUAUAUGUUCAGCAAUUGGAGGACAAUGACCUGUUCAAAUAUAGGCUAUGAAGCUUGGCAUGAACUAUUCCUGAAAUGAUUUUCUUCUCUCCAAAAAUAUUGAGAUGACAUAGGUUUGGUUAUGCUAUACUCAAAAUUAUUUUUAUAAAUAUUUAAUAGAAUUAUCUGGAAAAUAUCAUUCUCUUGUAGGAUAUAUGUCACCUGAUUUUGUGUUUUCAUAAAUGUUGUCGAGAUAUCAAUAAUGCCAUCAAAAAGGCCUUUGAGCUAUCAUCAUAAAUUGUUGCAAGAAGGCCUCAGUUCAAGAAUUCAGAUUAUCUAUACGGAGUUUGCUGAUUUCUAUUUUUGUAAUCUUCAUCUGUUCCAUCACUUUGUUUUUUCAUUCGCAGAAGCAACAAAAUGUGUCUCACUGGUGGUGGUAUGGUGGCACACCAGGAGCGGCGGCGCGUGGGGCAGAUGGCGAUGGCUGGUAGUGACGGCUCCAUGAUGACAAGGAGCGCUGCCGCAGCCACACCAAUGAGUGGCAGGAGAGGUGCGAGGAAGGAGUGGACCUUGGACGGCGAGGAGUCUGACAAGGACGCGAAAGAUUUGGGCACCAUGGACGUUGAUUUGAAGGACUGGGUAAUGGUACUGAUGGAUCGCGGCCAAUGAUUCUUAAUCUGGUUCAUUUCAUCACAGAUAUUAUAUUUCACUAAAGCUUUACUCCAUAGCAUUAAUUAACGUAAAUGACGCCAUAAAGGCAGAUCCCGUGACUGGUAUUGGUGGCAGAGAGCCAAGAGUGAGGGCACGUUGCCAUAAUAUCUCCCAUAACGUUGAUGAUCUAAUACAUAUUUCAUUAAUUCAAAUUGUAAUUGAAUAUUUUUAAAGGAAUUUUGGAAACUACUUCCUGCUAACA
Panicum virgatum (switchgrass) is the source of this 2605-nucleotide long non-coding RNA. RefSeq lists it as uncharacterized. The record is from RefSeq and is a predicted model, not a curated record. The transcript is spliced from 3 exons. NCBI's taxonomy places the organism in Eukaryota, Viridiplantae, Streptophyta, Magnoliopsida, Poales, Poaceae.